ACAGUGCCCCGUUUUUUGGGGAUAAUAGGGAAUCAGGUGAGAAUCCUGAGCUAUCCGGUAACUGUAAGCGGAGAGCGAACCACAAUAUGCCAUUGCGCAAGCGAGAAGGCGUGGCCAGCGAUGAACCGUAAGUCAGGAAACCUGCUGUGUAUGUUG
Molecule: non-coding RNA, 156 nt
Filed under: chicken gut metagenome
Source: RNAcentral